RNAcentral lists this ribosomal RNA (398 nucleotides) under uncultured bacterium. RNAcentral's name for it is "bacterial SSU rRNA". It matches the Rfam family "Bacterial small subunit ribosomal RNA", at positions 975 to 1375 of the family's 1533-position model. The record is from RNAcentral.
CUGGGUUUGACAUAUACCGGAAACAUCUGGAGACAGGUGCCCCGCAAGGUCGGUAUACAGGUGGUGCAUGGCUGUCGUCAGCUCGUGUCGUGAGAUGUUGGGUUAAGUCCCGCAACGAGCGCAACCCUCGUUCUAUGUUGCCAGCGGUUCGGCCGGGAACUCAUAGAAGACUGCCGGGGUCAACUCGGAGGAAGGUGGGGAUGACGUCAAGUCAUCAUGCCCCUUAUGUCCAGGGCUUCACGCAUGCUACAAUGGCUGGUACAAAGGGCUGCAAUAUCGCAAGAUGGAGCGAAUCCCAUAAAGCCAGUCUCAGUUCGGAUUGGGGUCUGCAACUCGACCCCAUGAAGUCGGAGUCGCUAGUAAUCGCAGAUCAGCAACGCUGCGGUGAAUACGUUCCC